Molecule: ribosomal RNA, 491 nt
Filed under: uncultured bacterium
Lineage: Bacteria
Description: bacterial SSU rRNA
Rfam family: Bacterial small subunit ribosomal RNA
Source: RNAcentral
GACGAACGCUGGCGGCGUGCCUAAUACAUGCAAGUCGAGCGAACUUUUGGGAGCUUGCUCCUAAAAGUUAGCGGCGGACGGGUGAGUAACACGUGGGCAACCUGCCUAUAAGACUGGGAUAACUUCGGGAAACCGGAGCUAAUACCGGAUAAUUCUUUUCUACACAUGUAGGAAAGCUGAAAGACGGUUUACGCUGUCACUUAUAGAUGGGCCCGCGGCGCAUUAGCUAGUUGGUGAGGUAACGGCNCACCAAGGCAACGAUGCGUAGCCGACCUGAGAGGGUGAUCGGCCACACUGGGACUGAGACACGGCCCAGACUCCUACGGGAGGCAGCAGUAGGGAAUCUUCCGCAAUGGACGAAAGUCUGACGGAGCAACGCCGCGUGAGUGAUGAAGGUUUUCGGAUCGUAAAACUCUGUUGUUAGGGAAGAACAAGUACGAGAGUAACUGCUCGUACCUUGACGGUACCUAACCAGAAAGCCACGGCUAACU